RNAcentral lists this unclassified non-coding RNA (382 nucleotides) under uncultured fungus. RNAcentral's name for it is "partial contains 5.8S ribosomal RNA and internal transcribed spacer 2". The stretch from base 1 to 133 matches the Rfam family "5.8S ribosomal RNA", at positions 22 to 154 of the family's 154-position model. Lineage: Eukaryota; Fungi. The record is from RNAcentral.
UGGUUCCCGCAUCGAUGAAGAACGCAGCGAAAUGCGAUACGUAAUGUGAAUUGCAGAACUCAGUGAAUCAUCGAAUCUUUGAACGCACCUUGCGCCCUUUGGUAUUCCGAUGGGCAUGUCUGUUUGAGUGUCGUGAAAUCCUCAACCCCCCUAUUUUGUAAUGAAGUAGGCGUAGGGCUUGGACUUAAUGGUUGCCGGACCCUUCCGGGCUCGACUCUAUUGAAAUACACGAGUGCAUCCAGCUUUUGAAAGCAGCGGCUUGACUCGGCGUGAUAUUACUAUUCGCUGAGGACGCUGAUCCAUCUUUUGAAACCGCGAGCGCUAAUACUGCGGCUUUUAGCCUUAAGCUUUAGACCUCAAAUCAGUCAGGAUUACCCGCUGA